Molecule: ribosomal RNA, 1433 nt
Filed under: uncultured organism
Description: 16S ribosomal RNA
Rfam family: Bacterial small subunit ribosomal RNA
Source: RNAcentral
CGACAGGCUUAACACAUGCAAGUCGAGGGGCAGCGGGGGUAGCAAUACCCGCCGGCGACCGGCGCACGGGUGAGUAACGCGUAUGCAACUUACCUAUCAGAGGGGGAUAACCCGGCGAAAGUCGGACUAAUACCGCAUGAAGCAGGGAUCCCGCAUGGGAAUAUUUGCUAAAGAUUCAUCGCUGAUAGAUAGGCAUGCGUUCCAUUAGGCAGUUGGCGGGGUAACGGCCCACCAAACCGACGAUGGAUAGGGGUUCUGAGAGGAAGGUCCCCCACAUUGGUACUGAGACACGGACCAAACUCCUACGGGAGGCAGCAGUGAGGAAUAUUGGUCAAUGGCCGAGAGGCUGAACCAGCCAAGCCGCGUGAGGGAUGAAGGUUCUAUGGAUCGUAAACCUCUUUUAUAAGGGAAUAAAGUGCGGGACGUGUCCCGUUUUGUAUGUACCUUAUGAAUAAGGAUCGGCUAACUCCGUGCCAGCAGCCGCGGUAAUACGGAGGAUCCGAGCGUUAUCCGGAUUUAUUGGGUUUAAAGGGUGCGUAGGCGGCCUUUUAAGUCAGCGGUGAAAGUCUGUGGCUCAACCAUAGAAUUGCCGUUGAAACUGGGGGGCUUGAGUAUGUUUGAGGCAGGCGGAAUGCGUGGUGUAGCGGUGAAAUGCAUAGAUAUCACGCAGAACCCCGAUUGCGAAGGCAGCCUGCCAAGCCAUUACUGACGCUGAUGCACGAAAGCGUGGGGAUCAAACAGGAUUAGAUACCCUGGUAGUCCACGCAGUAAACGAUGAUCACUAGCUGUUUGCGAUACACUGUAAGCGGCACAGCGAAAGCGUUAAGUGAUCCACCUGGGGAGUACGCCGGCAACGGUGAAACUCAAAGGAAUUGACGGGGGCCCGCACAAGCGGAGGAACAUGUGGUUUAAUUCGAUGAUACGCGAGGAACCUUACCCGGGUUUGAACGCAUUCGGACCGAGGUGGAAACACCUUUUCUAGCAAUAGCCGUUUGCGAGGUGCUGCAUGGUUGUCGUCAGCUCGUGCCGUGAGGUGUCGGCUUAAGUGCCAUAACGAGCGCAACCCUUGCCACUAGUUACUAACAGGUAAAGCUGAGGACUCUGGUGGGACUGCCAGCGUAAGCUGCGAGGAAGGCGGGGAUGACGUCAAAUCAGCACGGCCCUUACAUCCGGGGCGACACACGUGUUACAAUGGCGUGGACAAAGGGAAGCCACCUGGCGACAGGGAGCGAAUCCCCAAACCACGUCUCAGUUCGGAUCGGAGUCUGCAACCCGACUCCGUGAAGCUGGAUUCGCUAGUAAUCGCGCAUCAGCCAUGGCGCGGUGAAUACGUUCCCGGGCCUUGUACACACCGCCCGUCAAGCCAUGGGAGCCGGGGGUACCUGAAGUCCGUAACCGCGAGGAUCGGCCUAGGGUAAAACUGGUGACUGGGG